RNAcentral lists this long non-coding RNA (1347 nucleotides) under Chinchilla lanigera (long-tailed chinchilla). RNAcentral's name for it is "lncRNA (ENSCLAG00000028723.1)". Lineage: Eukaryota; Metazoa; Chordata; Mammalia; Rodentia; Chinchillidae. The record is from RNAcentral.
AACGAGGCGUGGAUAGCCACACAUGAUCAAAACAAAUCAAACAGAAACCAUGCACACCUCUUAAGGAAAGGAUGAAUUGGAAUGAGGUCUCACAUCUUUUGGAAAGCAAUGUCCAUAACCUCUGAUGUCAGCCAGAGCCGGGUAGACUCCCCAGGUUUCCACACCCCCUUACUUCCUGUCGGGUGAAUGCCAAUCCUUGCAACCAGCGCUGUGUGGAGAAAGAGGCAGCUGUCCUCGCAUAUUGCACCAUUCACAGACAAGCUUUUGUGAUGCUGUCAGUGUCCCUGGAGGGGACUCCUCUUCGACUUGGAUGUGUGGACCUAGAAGCUCAUGAGUUCACCCCUGGGAAAGAGCAAGUAUCUCUGCCACUGGACAGCUUUGGCUUUGUUCACUUUCACCUGGAGAAGUCAGCCAUGUAAGAAGAGCUCAGAAGUCAGUAUCUGGGAUUGGCCAGCACUGCGGGUUUUAACUAGCUGCAAGUGGACUUCCUCAGUGAUCCAGACAAGAUGUAGUGUCUGCAGGAAGCUGUCGGUUUAUCACGGGACACAGAAAACUGAUGCCGUGAUUAAGCUACACAGUACCAUGAGGAGCCUCAGCCUACAGUCCAUGAGAAUUGAGAGGAGGACUCUCUCAAGUGACCGGAGAACAAGGUUCCCUACCAGAAGAAGAGCCUUUUAAAUCCUGGAGGUUGAGCAUUUAGCAACGAAAAGAAGAGAAGGACCUGUAUACAACAGUCAGAAGUAUUUUCAUGCUUAACAGCAAAACCAGUCAAGUGAAAUAAAGCAUGCUGAACUUAAAAAUCUUUUUGUUUAUAUCAUAUGCCCGCUGCAAAUUCUUAAGUAGGAUAUUGUGUUAUUGCUAGAGUGCUAUACCUUGGAAUUUUAUAAAUGCUGGCUUUUGAGCAACUGCUACAAAUCUACUUAAUUUUUCUAUUUUCUAAGUAAUUGUGUAAGAGAGGAACAAGUAUAAAUAACUAACAAGAACUACUCUUUCCAAGGAAGGGGGCUAUUGAGGACAUAAAGAUUCAGAAGCCAAGUUAAGGUAAUAAUUCAUCAUGUGUCAGCACAAUGAUAAAUGGACACUUGUGUAACAGCAGGCACACAUUAAUAAACAAAGAAACUAUGCAUCUCCACUAAAAUUCAGCAUAAAAAAUACCUAAGAACUUUGGAAAGUAUGUAUAUGACAUACCAACUCUUGAUACAAUAAAUGAGAUCCAACUCCUAUGUAUUCAAGAUUCUGGAUGUGAAAUGAAGUUAUAUUGAGACUUCAUGUCUGUGACCGGACAGCAAUCUAAUGGCCGAAUCUCAUACUGUAGACAAAAAUUCUGUGGCUGUGCAUACACACCCC